RNAcentral lists this ribosomal RNA (490 nucleotides) under uncultured bacterium. RNAcentral's name for it is "partial 16S ribosomal RNA". It matches the Rfam family "Bacterial small subunit ribosomal RNA", at positions 30 to 507 of the family's 1533-position model. The record is from RNAcentral.
AUUGAACGCUGGCGGCAGGCCUAACACAUGCAAGUCGAACGGUAACAGGAAGAAGCUUGCUUCUUUGCUGACGAGUGGCGGACGGGUGAGUAAUGUCUGGGAAACUGCCUGAUGGAGGGGGAUAACUACUGGAAACGGUAGCUAAUACCGCAUAACGUCGCAAGACCAAAGAGGGGGACCUUCGGGCCUCUUGCCAUCGGAUGUGCCCAGAUGGGAUUAGCUAGUAGGUGGGGUAACGGCUCACCUAGGCGACGAUCCCUAGCUGGUCUGAGAGGAUGACCAGCCACACUGGAACUGAGACACGGUCCAGACUCCUACGGGAGGCAGCAGUGGGGAAUAUUGCACAAUGGGCGCAAGCCUGAUGCAGCCAUGCCGCGUGUAUGAAGAAGGCCUUCGGGUUGUAAAGUACUUUCAGCGGGGAGGAAGGGAGUAAAGUUAAUACCUUUGCUCAUUGACGCUACCCGCAGAAGAAGCACCGGCUAACUCCGUG